UUUUUUUUUUUUUUUUUUUGGUUGACUGAUUGACCUUUAUCCCAUCCCUGAGGGCAUGGGUUCUGUGUUGAUUGGACCAUAGUUAUGAAGAGCCAACAUGGCCUAUCCCUGAAAAUUAAAUGUCAUGGCAGAAUUGUUGCCCUAUCAUUAAUGUCAUAGAAAAAAAAAUACCAUGCUCUUGGACAUUUAUAGCGUGAAAUAUUUAUGAAAUUAUUAAUAUGUUAAUUAGUGUAAAUCAAUUUUGUAAAACCACCGAAAAAGAAACUAUUUGACCCAAUGCUGUUGAAAAAUCAGGUUCUUGAAUGCUGGAAUUUUUGGAAAUGGAACAGAGUCAGGUCACACGUUGCCACAUUCUGCGACGAGGGCUGCAAUGCUAGUGAGGAUCAACACCCUUCUACAGGGGUAUUCGGGGAUCAGAUUUGAGAUAUUAGAAGCUCUUACAAAGCUUCUCAAUCACAACAUCACUCCGUGUUUGCCUCUCCGUGGCACGAUCACUGCCUCUGGCGAUUUGGUUCCUUUGUCAUACAUUGCAGGACUGUUGACCGGCCGUCCUAAUUCUAGGUGUGUUGGGCCCAAUGGUCGGUCCCUUGAUGCCACGGAGGCAUUUCAGAUUGCUGGGAUGAAUUCCGGGUUCUUUGAGUUGCAGCCUAAGGAGGGUCUAGCACUGGUUAAUGGCACGGCUGUUGGGUCGGGUUUGGCCUCCAUGGUUCUAUUUGAGGCAAAUUUAUUGGUAAUCUUAUCUGAAGUUUUUUCAGCAAUUUUUGCUGAAGUUAUGCACGGGAAACCGGAGUUCAUUGAUCAUUUGAUGCAUAAACUGAAGCACCACCCUGGUCAGAUAGAAGCCGCAGCCAUAAUGGAACACAUUUUGGAUGGCAGUUCCUAUGUCAAGGCAGCAAAGGCAUUGCAUGAAACGGAUCCCCUCCAGAAGCCUAAACAGGAUAGAUAUGCACUUCGUACUUCACCACAGUGGCUAGGACCCCUGAUUGAAGUUAUUAGAUCAUCGACAAAAUCGAUUGAACGGGAGAUCAAUUCUGUCAAUGACAACCCUUUGAUUGACGUGUCGAGAAACAAAGCCUUGCAUGGAGGGAAUUUUCAGGGGACUCCAAUUGGUGUGUCAAUGGACAACACCAGAUUAGCUAUAGCGUCCAUAGGGAAACUCAUGUUUGCUCAAUUUUCUGAGCUCGUCAAUGAUUUCUACAAUAAUGGCUUGCCUUCUAAUCUAUCUGGAGGAAGAAAUCCUAGCUUGGAUUAUGGGUUCAAAGGCGCCGAAAUUGCAAUGGCCGCCUAUUGUUCUGAGCUUCAAUUUUUGGCCAACCCUGUCACAAAUCAUGUACAGAGUGCCGAGCAACACAAUCAGGAUGUUAACUCUUUAGGAUUGAUUUCUUCUAGAAAAGCAGCUGAAGCAGUAGACAUCUUGAAACUGAUGUCUUCAACUUACCUAGUGGCACUUUGUCAGGCAAUUGAUCUGAGGCAUUUGGAGGAAAAUUUGAAAAACGCUGUCAAGAGCACAGUUCACCAAGUCGCUAAAAAGGUUCUGACCACAGGCAUCAAUGGGGAGCUUCAUCCUUCAAGAUUCUGUGAAAAAGAUUUACUUAAAGUGGUUGAGCGUGAAUACGUGUUUACAUACAUAGAUGAUCCUUGCAGUGCAACUUAUCCACUGAUGCAAAAGCUAAGGCAAGUCCUUGUUGAUCAUGCCCUGAUCAACAAUGAGGACCUAAAUCCGAACACUUCGAUUUUCCUCAAAGUUGGAGCUUUUGAAGAAGAGCUGAAGACCCUUUUGCCAAUAGAAGUUGAAAGUGCAAGAAAUGCAUGUGAAAGUGGUAAUCCUGCAGUCCCAAAUAGGAUCAAGAAAUGCAGGUCUUACCCUUUAUACAAAUUUGUGAGGGAAGAUUUGGCGACUGGAUUCUUGACAGGAGAAAAGGCAAAGUCACCUGGAGAGGAAUUUGAUAAGGUUUUCUCCGCAAUUUGUGAUGGUAAGAUGGUCGAUCCAUUGCUCGAGUGUCUCAAAGAUUGGAAUGGUGCUCCGCUACCCUUGUGUUAAAUGCCACUCCACGGCACGUUGAGCAGAUUUUAGCUGUUGUACUCGGUGAAGGCCGACAGAAGAGCAGGCUUCCUUGAGGAAUAUUUUGUUUUACUGUAGUAGCAAACUGUUUUUCUCUACUUUUUUUUUUUUUUUUUUGUUGUUGUUGUCAAUUAUCACCAUCUACUCCUACUUCCAUCUAUUAUUUUUCUCUAUCUUUUUGUCUCUCGUGAUUUAUGUACAGAUAAAUUAUUGUAAUUUGUUGGGAUUUCUCAAAUUUUGUGAGGAUUUGAAUCAUCGUAUAUUAUUGUUUUUACUAACAUCCUUACUUCCAUACAUGAUUAACUUCCACGAGCUAACAAAUUGAAUUACUCUGAGCACUUGAUCAACUCGAGCUUUAAUUGAGAAGUCUUAUGAGCCCUCGUGAGCCGCUUGAUUCGUGCAACCCUAAAUACCAACCUAGGGUUAUGGAGUAACUACUUAACCACUAAACCAACUUUUUGAGAAAAAAAGAACUUGGUUCAUACCUUAUCAAACUUCUAAUGAAAAAACUUGGAAUGCAUCCUACUGCCGUAAAAACUUCAAUUAUCACCGUUCUCCUCCAUUCCCCCCCCCUCUCCAAAACCCUUCCUUGUGAGGGGUGGAGGAAUAAAUGGGCAUUAAACAAGUAAACCCACGUCAUCAAUUACAUCCUAACCAACAGGUCACUGAGCGAGGAGGCUGCUGAAACGCUAAUAUCCAUUCGCACCUCUAAUUUCCUCCAUGUUAUCUACACGAUCAUCCAAUUCUCUUUAUGCAUGAAAAAGAAUUGCUAUAUUGCCCAGGCACAUUUGGUCACUGGCCCAAAUCUAACAGAUACUAUCACAAUAAGGGCCUACAGCAGUUCCCUACACCAAGUCUAAUUCCCGUAGGAGAACGUGAUAGUACAGGCACUUUGCAGUUGUGACACACUAAUUUCAGGAAAUGUCCUUAAAUCCACUAAAGAAGAUAAAUAGCUACAUUUUCUAUUACAUGUAUCCAACUUUUAAUCGUAGCCAGCAACUUCCAUGGAAAGCAGUCUGAAGCGGCUUUCCUGCAUUAGAGUUUGAAGCAGCCAUCAUACAUCUUUGGGGGAUAUUCAUACCACCAAAAAAGGUUUGAAUCUAGUCAAGCAUCAGGGAUCAACAAAUUUAAUGCCAGAAAACCAGAAAUUGCAACUUAUUCGUGUUUGAUUAUGAUUCCGAAGGCUGCAGCCCGCUACGAGAGUCGAGAGUUUGAUUCGAUGAAUGACAGUAACUGAAAAUUCUAUUCAGGUGAAGAGGAAUGGAAAUCGGACAACCCCCGAUGAAGAGGAAUGGAUUCAUUCAUGCUGAGUAUGAGACCAACUUGCAAACAAAGAAAAAAAUGGUACUACGUCUACACAUAUGUAUACCUCAGGAUACAUGGAAAAAGUCAAUCUUAAGGUGGACUGAACGCUACCCAUUUAAACAAAAGAGGAAUAUAUACAGGGCCCUUAAAAUAUAGAGUUGCUCCAUCCCAAAUGACUGAAUUAACGAAUAUGCUUCCUUCGCAUGCCUUAAGAUCUCAAAACAUACUGUUGACAAAUCGUUUAUUAGCUGUUAACAAGUCAUAUGCAACUGUCAUUUGUAAACUAACAGGAUUAGUGAGAGCUCUUGUGGAAAGCUGUCAGCUGAACAUGUACCACAACUUCCAUUCCAUUUUAUAGAGGGACAUGAUCAAACGUCCCACUGAAAACACACUAGACAGGUUACUUAGCAAAAGAUAUGCAUUUGCCAGUGGGCAACAUUACAUGCGUUUUACAUUGGUCAGUCAUCAUCAUCAGACAAGCAAACAACAUCAGAAGCUACAGCUGGAAGUUUUAGACUACGGUCCACAUUACCCGGUGCUCUGGUGACUGAUGGAUCUAGCAUGCUCGUAUUUAAACCAGAGCCAGCUAAGUGCUGCAAUAUAGUAGGCAGAUGGCCACCAGCUUGAUUAUCAAUAUCCAUGAGCAACUCCACCGCAGAUUGACUGGGGUUAUGACAACCUGGAUGAACUCCACUUUCAGGUUGAGAAGGCCUACUACUAGAAACAGCUUGACUGAUCCUGCUCGGUUGCAGUGCAGCUGUUGGUUGGGUUGGGGGUAAGGGGUUUUGUUGCAGCAAGAAUUGUGAAGGCAAUGGCAGUGGUUGUUGAUUUGGAACAGGGGGAAGUGACACAGAUCUUGCAGGCAAGUUGAUUGGCACCUGUUGAUUGGGAAUAUUGCCGGGAAUGCACGAGCUACUAGCAGCUGCAGACGUGCAACCAGGUAGUCUGAAAGGUUGAAGAUGUGGGGCUGGCGCACGCUUCUCUCCACUAACUCGAACACCACCAGUAGAAGGGGUAAUGGCACUGAUUUGGGGAGGUCUUGCAGGAACACUUGGAAAAAGUCCUGAAGAACGAUGAAGAGAUUGUACAGGUGGCAUUGCAGUCUGUUGACUCACAGAAGGUAGGCCAGCAGGAGACAAGGUAGCAACAGAGGGAUGUCUCCCUGUAGGCUGCAAGGAUAACUGAUUCACCCGCUGAAUGAAACUGACAGGAGCACCUGCGGAAAAGAACAUGUACUAAAUUUAGAUCUCAAAAUUUCUAAAAAUAGAAAAAAAAAAAUCCCCAAAAAGAUAAAACCAAAAGAAAAGACCAAUUAAUAGUUCAGAUAAAGGUCCAGCACUAGUGGCAUUUUUCAUCUUUGAAAAGUUCCAAAUCAGUUUGUCUUGGAAAAUCACACACAGAUACUUUACCAAAUAAUAAGAGGAUAUGCCACAUAGAAAAGUUCUUAUUUCAAAAGAAGAUAAAAGUAAUUCAGUCAAUUCAGCAAAAUUAACGUUCAGUCGCAUAUCCUUGACUUUAAAGCUUAAAAGAGUCAAGUGUUACAAACUUAGAUCAAGGAAUAAAUUUGACUGCAAAUACACUUGAAGAUCAGCAGUUUAGAUAUUGAAUCAGCAAUUUUUUUUAAAUUUUCUACUUGAGAAGUGUCUUCCUCGGGUCAGGCAGGAGGAGCAUCAAGAAGCUUGAAGGAUUAGUCCAAAGUUUCUAAUACUCUAAAGAACAUUUUGACUCCGGAGCAAUUAACCAGACAUUAGUAAAAAAUUAUGAUACAUUAGCAUUGCAAACAUAAAGUGCCAAUGCAAGAUCUAAUAAGCCAAACAAGAAUGCCAACUUUACAAUGGUUGAAUUAAGUGCUUAAUACUGUAUCAACCCCAACACAUAAAACACGGGCUGUAACAUUUCACACAUAUCAAGACAUGCCAAAAGCUCAGUACCUUGCUGCAUCGAUAAAACCGCAGAAGGCUUAAGAUCCAAGCAUUUAGAGCGAAAAGCUUCAGCUAAUAUCUUGUUCAUAAGAACCUUCUUCUGGUUUGUAUCCAGUUCAGUCUUUUUCAACAGAAAUGCUGUCUCAGCAUCUCUAUGUUUUGCUUCAUAUUUGCUACGAAUUUGAGCAAUCAUUUCCUCUAUUUCCUUUUCACAUUCAGAUUGAAACCGCAGCUUCUGUUGAAUGCCAAAAAAGCUGUCAUGAAAAAGAUUUUGCUCUACACGUGCAGUAACCAAGAAGCAAGCUUAAACUUUACCGUGCUAUCAUGAAGUGUAGUAGUUUGUUCCACUUCUUUACGUAUCCUCUCCAAUUCAUUUUGAAGUGGGUCAACCUGAAGAGGUAGAGGUAGAUUUGAGGAAGCUACCUGGUGCGGUUGACGUACUGAAAGGUGAGCUGAUCCUUCAGCUACGGCCACGUUAGGCCUGGAUUGUUGUAGAGCUUGGUUAAUGAGUUCAGCUGCAUUGUCAACCGCUUGAGUUGGAACCACGCUAUUGUGGGACACCACAGACAGCUCCGCAAUGCAGUCAUGAUUAGUUCCAGUGAUUGUCUGUAAAUUUAAGCCUGAUCUGCUUUCAGUUGAAGGAGGCGGCACCAAGUUUUCCCCAUUUAGAGAAACAGCUAGCUGAGAAAGCACCACUGACCCUUCAACCACAGGGGAAGAAGCCUCAGAGGUCUGUAGCGAGUUGUCCGUCUCAAUAUGGCCUUGAUCAACAGAUUCAGCUGCAGAAGGAAGACUACACACAGGAGGAGAUGAACAAUUGGAAACAAAAUGGACAAAGUUCUCGCUGCUCUGGGGAACAUCAUCACGUGAAUGCUCUGCACACCUGUCAACCAAUUGGAUAGAGGCCUCAGAGGUCUGCAGUGCAUUGCUCCCUGCAAUUUGACCUUGGUGAACAGCUUCAGUUAUAGUAGGCUGCCUGCAGACAGGAGAUGAAAGAUUGGAAGCCUCAGAGAUCCGCAGCGAGUUGGCCCUCUCAAUAUGGCCUUGAUCAACAGAUGCAGCCAUAGUAGGUUGACUAAACAGAGGAGUAAAACUAUUGGAAGCGGGAUGGAUCAAGUUUUCACAGUUCUGGGGAACAUUAUCAAGUGAAAGCUCUGCAGACGUGUCAACCAAUUGGAUAGAGCCCUGCAGUGAGUUUCUCCCUUUGAUUUGACCUUGGUGAACAGCUUCAGCUAUAGGAGGCAGCCUGCAGACAGGAGAUGAAAGAUUAGAAGCCAGCUGCACCAAGCGAUCCACUGUCAAAGCCUCAGAGGUCUGCACAGAGUUGCUCCCAUCGACAUUAUUUUGGUAAGCAGCUUCAGCAAAAGUUGGUUGACUACGAGCAGGAGAUGAAUAGUGGGAAGCCAGCUGCACCAAGUUUUCUCCAUCCUGAGAAAGAGCUUGGUGAGAAAGCUCCAGUGAUUCCUCAACUAAUUGGGUUGAAGUGUCAGAGGUCUGUCUAGAGUUGCUCCCUUCAACAUGACUUUGCUGAACAGCUUCUGAAGUAGCAGGUUGACUGCAGACACGUGAAGAAAAAUCGGAAGCUGGGUGCACCAAAUUCUCUCCAAUACAAGCCUCAGAAGUCUCAGUAUGAGCUUGGCGAACAGCAUUAGCAGCAGUAGAUUGACUGCAGACGGGAGGUGAACAUUCAGAAACCAGCUGCACCAAGUUUUCCCCAGCCAGCAAAACAGCUUCAUGAGAAAGCUUCGCCGACCUCUCAAAGAAUUGGGGAGAAGCAUCAGAGUUCUGUAGAGAAUUACUCCCUUCAAUUGGAACUUGGUGAACGGCUUCAGCAGCAGGUUGACUUUGUUCAGGAGAUGAAGAACUGGAAGCCAGCUGCAACUGCUCACUAUCUAACUGAAUGUUUAAUCCAGCUUCAAGCGGUGUAGAGCUUACCAAUCCCACUGCUGUAUUCAGAUCUCCUGCAAUUGGCAAGUCUUCAAUCUGCAUAUAAGGUGAAUCCAUAUUAGGAAAUUCAUCAUGCAUCACCUAACAAUUUAAUAUCUAACUUUAACAUUCUCCAAAUAAUAAUAUCCAUAUUAGACCACAUUUGAACUACCUUCUCGACAGCACUGAAAACACUAGACAACCGGACAAAUGACAAAGGCCCAUAUUUCAAUUGUCGAAUACUUAUUAAUCUAUUGUACAUACAUCAGCUUAACUGUGAUAAUGUUAACAAAUCUCAACCUAACAAAGAACAUAAGACAAAGAAAUUUAAAUGUAGCAGAAAGUAAAAGGAGAGAUCAACUAAUUCACAUAAAAUGACACUAGUUACUCAUCCAUUUCCAAAAUGUCAGUAAAAGGAGAGAUGAAGUAAUUCACAUAAAAUGAAACUAGUUACUCAUCCAGUCCAAAAAGUCAUGGAAAGCAGAGACGAACUAAUUCACAUACAAUGACACUACUUACUCAUCCGGUUCCAAAAUAGACUUUCAACUUCCCUUCUUUGACAAUUGCCAACAUAACAUUCAGAAUCCUCAAGACUGAAUGAUUUUUAACUAUAACAUAACAUAAACUGUCAAUCUAAGUGCACUGAACAAAAGUUGCAAACCACACCUUCUUCAAUUAACUUGAACACUACAACAAAUCUCACUUUCCUGUAAAACAUACUCAAGUAAUAAAUCUAUUUUCAAGUAGGUGACUAAUAUUUUAACUGUGAAAACUGUUGGCUGUUAUAAAUCAAAACUAAUCCAUGUAAUAAAAAUCAAUUAAAAUCAAUCAUAAAUAUUAAAUACACCUAUACAAAAUUGAUUGAGGAAAACAUCUUUCAUUGCACCUCCAAUGCUGCAAUGGAUUUUGUUAAAAAGAAUAAAAUUGAGAGGGUUUGGCUAGAGAAAUUGUUACGUACACAUUGUGGAGGCGAAUCUGGAGGAGGAAAUGUUUGCACCAUAAUUAGAUCUACUGAUUGCAUUUGUCCAGAGAGAGCAGUUCCGCAAAUGGAGUUAUGAGUCCGACCUUCCUGGUUCCCCCCGACAUCAGAACCUAUUGAAUUUCCUGUACCAUUUUCUGUAUUAAACUCGAGAAGAGCACCCAUUUCUGAAGUGAAGGCAUUCCCAAUUUCAGAUCCAGCUGUCCUAGGCAGCCCUAAAGGUAUCUCAUUAUCUUGACCACUUGAUGAAAUUUCACGAGUAUUUUGCCCAUUAUAAGUAGCUAGAUUAAUGCAAACGAUCUCCUCAGCUCUAUUAGAGGAACAAUUAGGAGUAAUCUCCUGGGAUGUCUGAGAUAAAUAUUCUGCUGUUUUGGGCUGAUCAAAUAUGAUAAAAGAUGAUGCGCCAACUGGUAUAGUCUCCAACGCCUUUUCAGAAGUUGAAUGCAGCAAAACAGGUGAUGUUUCAUCAGGAACGCUACAAGAACCUGCAUGCUUUGCAUUAACCUCAGGAGUAAAGUUAGAGGUGCGACUUGAUUCUUUGGACUGGUCAACUCUGGUAACAGAUGAUGCUUCAGCUGCCACAAUCUCUAAUGCCUCAUCUGAGACUGAAUUCACUGCAAUGGGUACUGUUUUAGAUUGCGUACUAUAGCCAGUAGCAUCAUCUGCUGCAGUCACUGGUAUGUGAGACACUAUCACAAUACUACCUCGACUUACAUGCACUAUUCUAUCAGGACUUUGUUCUCCCAAAUCAGGUCUAGAAUGAAGGACCUCAUUCUCACUAUACUCUGAAGUAAUACGUCCAGAACCCUCAGAAGACCCCAUUUCACAAUAUUCAGAUCCAUGCAUAUGCUGCUCAUUGACAUUUCUGUGUUCGCUCAAGCCAGACUUCAUCAUGGCUAAAAAAUUAGCAACUCUUUUACUCUCUUCUUCAAUUGCAGCUGCAUGCCUUGCCUCAAGCUGUUUAAGUUGCAUUUCCAUGAUACAUUCAUGCUCUUGAAUUUUCUUCUCAAAUUCACUGUCUGCUAUCUUAAGCUUAUCCAUCUCCAUUGCAGUUUGAUUGUAUGUUGUGCGUAUGAAAGCUGACUCCAGCCGGUGUUCAUCCUCUAAUUGAAUCCUCGUCUGCUCUCGCAUUUCGUGGAACUUUUGAAUUUCCUCCUCUUGCUUUUGAUGAAGCUUUAACAUGUUUUUAUCACGUUUCUUCUGUAACUUUUUGAACUUCUUUCUAACCACAUCAUGUACUGUUAACUGAUCUAUUGUUCCCCACUGGGAAGGUUCCAGAUUAAAUGAGCUCUCUUCAAUUUCAACUUUCACAUUUUGCAGCUUAAAAAACUCUGAUGGUGGCUCCCCAGCCUUUAGUGACUGUUCUGUAACAUCUUCUGAUGCUGAUACAACACUCUUUGAAGGCUUUAAGCCAUUCUUGUUUCUUAAAAGCUGCAAAAAUUUGGUCUUCAAUGGCCGUAAUUUAUCAUAAACUAUGUCUGUCUCUUCUUUGGUGCAUUGAAAAUUCAAUAUAUGUUUCGCUAGAUUAAGAGAAUCCCUUCGAUCAAUUUUUUCUUUCAUGAUUGAAGCUGCAAUCCAACACUGGAAAAUAAAGUAAUGAAACAUCAUAUUAUUAUAAUCAUUCCCAGAGGCAAAAACAUUGACACUCAUCAGCCUUCUUUAAACUUCAAUAAAUUUGUAUGCUUGCAGCUGAGCAUGCAAAAGAGAUUACUCAUCCACAAAAGUUCUGCAUGUUCAGAAGCCACUGGAUGGCCAACUACGAGAUGCUAAAUGCAUUCAGAGUAGUUCUACAUAAUGAUACCAUGAUAAAUAACUAUAUCACAUUAUGGUCAAAAGAAUGUCUUCACGAAGUGCCCACGCAUAAAAAUGUCACUUCCAAUCAAAAUCUCACACAGUAAAUAUCAACAGCAUAUGUCCAGCCGUAAAAUCAAUUAAAUUGGCUCAAAUCAUUGGUAUACAAGCACUAGGAUAAAAUUGCUUAAUGCGACAAUAAGAUGACACACUUAUUUUAACGAGAUAGACUUAGAGCAGAGGGAAUCUAUAGACCCAUGGAAGUGCUUGACUGUUAGCAAAUCCAAGCAAGUGAUAGAUAAGAAUAGAGAGGAGCACCUACUACAUUUACUAAUGUCAAUCUUCAGAAUACUGCCAUGGAUCUUCUUAGGGGGUGUUUAUUCAUGCUCCAGAAUUGGAAUUGGAAACAGAAUGAUAUAAAGAGAAUCGGCAUGGGUAUAAAUGACUGGGAUCAUUGUAAUUAUUAGUGCUUGGUACAAAAUCCAUUGGAAUGGGACUCAAAAUUAAUAUUUUGUUUUUCUUUUCACAGUAUGUUUCCUCUGCUUAUAUCAAUCUUGAGCCUUUUUUGGUUUUUUACUCUCCAAUCACCAAUCAACAGCAUAAACUCCCAAAUAGAAGAUUUGGCAAGUUCGUCUUUACAUUUCUCCUUGCCAAUAGUUGGAACCUGGAACACGAGUAGAAAAAUCCAAAAAUUAUCCAAGGAACCAAAUAGCAAUUUCCAUCCUCCAUUGAGAUUUAAUCUCCAGCAGCCCCAAAUAUUGUCCACCUAAUGCCACAUCUCAAUGUUGCUAUGAGCCAUCACUUUGAUUUCACAAGGAGAAGGAAGAAGUCAAUUGGGGUAAGGAUUGGGGAUGACUUGACAGUAAGUGAGAAGUGGUGUGUUGAAGGGAAGACUGGUCAAUGCUAAAGGUGGACGGAGGAUGAGAAAUCGGAGGGAAAAGGGGCAUACUGGAGGUAAGAAGAGGGGAAUUUUUGGAGGAGAGAAGAGGAAUGUGUUUACUGGGGGUGAAAGGGGGGGGGGAGGAGAGGAAAGGGAGUAGGAAGGAGUCGGUCAGAGGAGAGAGAAGGGAAGGUGAUUGAUCGAAAAAAAGGUUUAAAAAACUUAUUUUGGAAUGAGAUGGAGCAUUUGACAAAACCUCCCAACUUACUCAGGAAUGAGAGUUACCAAGUUUUUAGAAAUCAUUCCAAAAUUCAAACCCCAUACCCAUUCGCCAAACAUAAAUAUUGGACAUGAUUCCAAAUCCUGAUUCUCAUAUCCUUGAACCAAACGCCACCCUAAUUCAUGCCAUGAGACCAAAAGCGAUCCUCUAAGGGUCUCUACUUUACAUUCCUAACCCCCAACUGAUUCACAACUGUAUAUCAACAGAUAUUGCAGAAAGAAAGACCAUGCAAAGUAAUAGACUGUAUAAAGAAAGCUUCUACUUAAAGAAAUUUAUAUGCAUGUCAAGUUGUUUCAUUGAGUAAUUAUGAUAUCAGAAAAUAAAACUCUCAUGGUACCGAAUCUUUCUAAUUGCAUGACCCUCAAUGCAUAUCAACAUUACACACUUUAGUAGCUAAUUAAACCAUAGAAGGCAUUCAGGGAAAUGACUCCAUAAAAACCCAAGGAAUUGGCAAACAUUCAUACAUAACUGCACCUGUCUUCUUCAUAACCAGCCUGAUAGGUAACUCUGUUAGGAAAUUAGAACAAAUAAUAUUUAAGACACUAGCUAAUAUGAUGAUAUUUGACAAUGUUAUGAUCUUGGCAUGCUGAUUAGUUCAUGGAAGACAUGCAAGGGUAAUAAGAAAAUACUACAGGACUAAAGCCUAUGAGGACUAUGAACUGAGCAUUCCUUUCUCACAACUUCUAGUACUGCAACAUACAAAAGAGAUUGAUAAAUCAGCAAAACCUGCCUAAAAAAGAGGAAAUGGGUUGCCCAACUAAUGCUACCACGGGUAGUGGAUCGUUAAGAUAACAAACUGAACUCAAGGCAAACCAGAGAUGGCAACUAAAUCUACAAUCCAUGGAUACUGAACCCAAUUCAUCAUUCUGAAGCAUCACCCUUAAACUUGUAGGAUAUUUUCCCGCUCAAUCUUUUGGUGGGAAGAGGGAAGUGUGGGUGGCAAAGAGGAGUUUCUCACGUAAAUGUCCCUAGAAGACUAGAAGAAGAAUGAGUAAAUCAUCUUCCUUGAAGAUGGGUGUGGAAAGGUGGGAUGCAUAGCUGCCCGCAUUUCAAUAAAAUGUUGCCCCAAAAAAAGAAAAAAUCGUUUUGCAAUUUCUCUUGCACUAUUAAGCCCUAAGUAUCCCAACCAUAAAGUUAGUUGGAAAUGUCUUCCACAGAAUAAUUUGAAAAAUUAGGGUAAUGUAACGUCAUCUGUGUCAGUAAGCAUAAACAAACCAGGCUGCAACAGUUGAAACUUAGGAUAAGUGUUCUUUUAAUAGUGAACCCACUUAGGUAUCAUCUAAGGGAAUGACGAAUAAAUGAUCAGUCCAGAGCACGACACAAAAGAUAGAUGAGGCAGAAAAUACGAACCAGAGACAUCUGAAAAGCCUGUAGGAUAGAGGCUUGUUCCUUGUUAACAUGACGAUUCUCCAUGACAUACUCCAGAAAGUUUUGUACCAUAGAAUUCACACCAUUCUGCAUUUAGAAAAGUGGACCACACAUUAGAGACUGCAAAAAAAAAGCAUUUCAAACAGCCAAACAUCAGAAUUAGACAUACUAGGUGCUUGGACAUACUUGUCUAACCAGCAGGGACAUUUUAGUUCAAGACAAAUAAUGAUCCGCAUAGGAGAAUAACAUGGAAAGUAACCAUUGGCUUCAACUAAACUAGAGGAAGAAUUGUCAAUGAUGGACAUAAGUUAAAAAUGGAAAAUUCGUGGCAGUACUUGACACUGAAUUUCCACACAAGUGCAGAAUCAGCAUCCCAGAUAACAGAAUAGGCAUACUACAAGUGCAUGCAGUUGAUAUAAUUGGAGGUGCAAACCACAAUGCUCCACAGAGAUUGUGCAGUUCCAUUUUUUCCAAUGUAUAGCAAAUUACCAUGCGCUGUCAUCUUCAAGACUAUAAAGAAACUACCUCAGCUAAAAGAGUUCAUUUACCAAACAUUAAUCAGCAACUGGAGGCAAGCAUGAAAAGUUUUCUGAAGCAAAUCAAGCUGCUUCCCAUUCCCACCAUAGGAAUGCCAUUGACCAUAAGUCUUCAUAUAGGCAAAACCGAGAUGAAGAAACAAGCUUGAAUUUCAAACAAAAUGUCCAGUUGACACCUUAAUAACACUGCAAAAGGUUCUGCUAGAUUCUUACAUCAACAAACAUGAUUUCAUUUUACAUUUUUAUUUAAAAUUGGCUGCCAUUCCUAGGUUUUUUAAUCUAAGCAUUGCACUACAAACCACCUCCCAAAGAUAGCAUGUAAUUUUGGGAAUGAGUUAUAAUAGUAAAAAAUGGAAAAGGAAAUUAUUAGAGGCCAAUGACUACCCAUCACAUGCAAGUAAUCUCUCAGAAUAAUAAGAAAGAAAUACGUACUUAAACAAUCACAUUCUGCUCUAUAAUUCUUCAUAAAGCAUUUCACUAUCCAAGCACUACCCAAGUCAUCAACCUUAACUCCUAAUAUCCAAAUAUCAAUGAACAACAAAAAGUGGAGAAAGUUUACUACAAGUAGAAUUCAACAUUAUCCAGCCUUAAUAUUUCUUAUCAUCCAUCCCAGCCCGUACCAGCUCACUCAUUCCUAAGCCCAAUCCAUGCCCCAUAUAUGUCAAAAAGAAAGUAACAACAAAAAUGGGAAAAGAAUGUGAUAUUUACCGAAAGCUUUAGAACAUCACAAAGUUUAGCCAUCUCUGCUCUCAGAAGAAUAUGAAGGCUCUUCUGUUCAUUUGGUGUUCUUUCUUCAAGAUGAGCCAUGUCACUCUCAUGUGAGAAAGGAUUCUCACCAGAAAGAGGAAUAGCUUUGCUUGCAUCGCCCAAUGUACAAGAAACUGAUAUUGGCAAAGACUCAGAUUGAUUGGCAGCUGCAGACACAGAUGCCUCUGCUUAAGUAUAGACCCUCUCACCAAUCAAAGAGAUGAAACAACUUAACUAGGAAGAAGAUGAAGUAAAUAAAAGCUUUCGAUUUAUCAAGUAUGACAGUGAGCAUUUCCUGUAACAUUUACCUGCCUUUGAUCCUGGAGCUUGAAUUCUUUCUUCAAGCUCAGGUUGAAAAGAUGGAGAAUCAGAACCAUCUAACACCUUCUGGUGCUUCUUUGCAGGUUCAUCAUUCUCAGCAUAAUGAACUCUCUUCCUGCUUCUCAAAGUUGAUCCAGGCAACAAUUUCCACCGAGGAUUCCGUCCCUCCAACAGCUUCUUCCAGUAUAUCUGGCGUUCUUCUCCAUCAGCUGACUUAACCUCUCUCUCCCCAGGCAACAAACAAUCUGAAUGGUAAACACCCUCACUAUGAAAAACUUUUGAAAUUAUAGAAUCAUGUUCAUUGUUGUUCUUAGAAACAUCGAGAAGUUUGGCCAUGAAAUCCUUAACAAUAUCAUCCAAUAGGCCCUGUUGUCCAGAUGAAACAUCGGCAGCAGAUGCAGUGCUCUUUUCUGCAUGAUACUUGUCCAACCUCCUAAACAAAUAUGAGGCACCCCACAUGAGAAGAGUGUCAUCAGUAGCACGACUUGUGCUUCGCAAGUUACUUUCAACAUUCUUGUUGUGUUUUGCAAGUAUCAAUACUUUUUCUUCAAAAGUAUACGAUGAAUAGAGCCUAAAAACUUUGAUCUGGUCACUAUGUGAAAUGAAGGAAAUUCGUUGUAGAGCCUUCAUGUCAUUUGCAGGAUUCCAGUCAGUAUCAAACAAGACAACAAUGUCCACUGACAACUUGAUGCUUGGCAUACAAGCCCGAAUGUCUAACAAAAACACAAACUCUCCGCCUUCCUUACUGUUGAACCUGUCCAUAGUAGCCUGUCUUUUUGUCGGUAUGUCAAAAGUUGCUCCAAAACCCUCGUAAGAAUUUUGUCCGAACCUUUGAGCCAGAAAAUCUUCCAAUAUGCUUCCAAUAGGUGUUCCCUCAGAACUGCCAUUUGACUAUCAUUGGAAAGGGAAAACAAAAGCAAAUUAUAAGCUAUGACAGAAGAAGGUAACAGGUCUAUCCCAAAAUGCAUAUGCUUGAAAAUGAUUCCCCAUAGAAGAACGCAAGCUGUCAGUAAAAGGCGCAACAAUACACUAUGCAAACACGAUGAAUCCUCCUCCAACUUCAAAUAAAAAGAAUGUAUUUCCAAUUCCCCUCCAUGUGUAUAUCUUCAUGCAUGUGAAAGACCAUUAAAAGAAUGAUAAAAGAAUGUCUGCACAUAUGCAUGUGUGUGUGAGAGAGAGAGAAAGAGAGAUCUGGAGUUUAACAAAUGAAACUGAACCACAAUAAUACAGUUGCAGCCAUAACUCAACACUUCCCCAAGUAGAAGAAAGUCAAAGGCCCAAGAAACCUAAGACGCAACCAUCAAAAGAAUCGCGAAUAAACAUUAAUUGACAAACCCUAGAAAUAAUGUGUUCCUUACGGAUCCAGAUGUCCCAUAUAGUACAAAUAAAAUUUGGCCCAAAAAAAAUCAAAUGGGAAAAUAGUUCACACAGAUUCUGUGACCACAUGCGAUGACAUUUACUGAAAUACUCAACAGUCCACCUGGCACUCCAAAGAAAAUAAAAUCCGAGAUACUAGUAUACUCCAGAUUAUUACACCUGCUGCUUAACAAACAACCACAUUAAUUUACUAUACUGCUCCAAAAUAAACUACAGCUAUUCCUUCCUGUCAACCACCAAUUCAAAAGGGAAUACAGGUAAGAUUGUUAGAGGGCCACUAAUAGAAUUUAAAAUAGAAUUUAACUGUCUUACAGAAUGACUUCAAUGCCAUAUUGUAAGAGAAAGCACUUACUCUUCUUAUAUUUUUCAACCAAAGUCUCCAUAUCCUGCUUUGCCUCAGCUAUGUUACCACUUCCAAAAAUUGGCUCAUACGAAAAACUGAAGGUUCUUUAUACUUCCACCAAAAUCAGAAGAUCAAGGUUCAAUGCUGACAGCAGGGUUUUAACUAGAAAGGGGAAGGUUGUAUACAACUAGCUUUAGGAAGAAGCCAUGCAGACUAGAUCGGAUCUAAUAGAAUAACAAAUCUGUCUUGAGAAAAAAAACAAGAUUACAAUAAUUCUUCUCCAUUUUAUCCCCACAAAAUUUACUUCAACACCUUUCACACUUGAGGGAAUCAUGAAUGAAGAUGUAAAUUAGAAAAAAAAAAAAAAACCUCUCAAAGAAUUUGCAUCAUUCACAAAGAUAAAAGGCUUCAUAUUUAAGGAUCUAUGGACAAGAAUUUGCCGAACAUGAAGGAGACAAACCCUAGAGACAACCCCUUUUUUGGUCUCUAAAUGCAAACUUAUUCCUCGGCAAACCAAAAGAAUCAGCACUUAAAGGUGUAUCAUCACAAAUGCUGGACCAAAGCAGAGCAAGGGGUAGGCACUCCCAAAGUUCCAUGUGAUAUAAGUACAAAACCAAAGGAAUCAAUUCCUCAUCUCCUUUUGCAUUCUUCUUGUUCAUGGGAUGGCAUUGAAAAUGCAACUGCGCUUUGAAAAGGGGCAGGUUUUACUGAUCCCAAAAUGUUCAGAAAAUUCUUUAUACGCUCUUUGUGGUGACAAGAAGGGAAAGAAAAUGACAGGAGGUAUUCACCAUUUGGAAGGAAGUAGGAAUAAUAGGAGGGAAAACAAAUAUGAGCUCCUCUUUCUUUGUCAUACUUUUGGUUCACUUGUUUUCUUGCACUAAGAAAAAUUUCCACUUCAGACAUAUCCUCAAACAACUGCUGUUUCCUUAGAUUACAACAUCCAACAAUCAGGAUGAUGUGCUUGAAACCAAAUAUAGCCACCGCCAUCGAUCUGUCUUAAAAGGGGUUCAAUCCUAGUCACUACCAUUCCCUGCCUGCUAUUUCCUCUCCAACCACCCUCACCCCAAAAAAAAAUUGUGUUCUUUGAAAGAAAAAGGGAAAAUUCAACAACAGCAGCAGCAGCAGUAGCAACAAAAAAAUAAUUUCCCGGAGACAGAAAGUUCCACAAUUGUAUGUCAACAGAAUAGACAAAUUAUAUACCUGGAAAAGGAUGAGAACUCUAAGCUUCCGUCUUCUAAUCUUAGAAAGAAUCAGAUCAAGAAGAUGUAGUUUGCCACUAGCCGUUAUUCCAACAUCCAACAUCUCAGGUGCUUGGAGUCCCUUAAUGACUGAGGUUUUAGUAUACAAGUCCACAGUAUAGGGAUGACUACAACACUGUAAAGGAAAACCAGAAAUGAAAAUUAAAAUAUUUCCAGUUCAACUGUAAGAAGACUACAUAUGUUUUUAGCACGCCUUCUCUAAUUAUUAGAUGUAAAAGAGGAAAUCAAGACAGGUUCCCUUAAAGAGAACAAAGACAGCAUAUUCGAGCUAGAUAACAUGAAUGCAAACACAUAUGGGUGAAAAUAGCAUUGCGUACUGUAAAACACAGAAAAAAUUAUAUGCAAAGCUGCAAACCGAUUGUGUAUACCUUCCGAAGUGUCUUCAGAAUAUCUAAGAGGGCCCCAACACCAUCCCUCUUUGAAGGAGAGCAAAGAGCAAUAGUGUUUGUAACUAGCGUGGAACAGUACUGCUCCAGCUGCAAGUUUGAUAUCGGAACAGGAACCCAGUACUCCACAAACUUAGAAGACCCAAAUUUGCUUCCAUAUGCUGUAAAAUGUGAUAAGCUCUCCUUCAGUUUAACAAGAUUAUCACUCAGGUUCAACUUCAGAUCUCCAGAAGAAUCAAGCAAUGACAAAACAUACUGGUACUCAGCUACAACAUCCUGCGCAUUUUGGAAGGUUUUACAGCCCCUUUAUUUCCCUCUCUUAAAUCUCCUUCACAUUCCACACGAAUCAAACAACUAGAAAAAGCUAAAAGGAGAAAAGUACCUUUAGUUGACUGCUAAAAAGAAGCAGCCUCACAUUCGUUUGAAGCACCUUAAUAAGUGCCACAUUUGUGUUCAUACUCCUAGAUUGGCACUCAUCAACUAUAACUGCUUCCCAUUUAAUCUCUUUAAAAGUUUGUAAAUCCUGCAGCCAAUAGCAAAACCAGCACAAAUCAAAGACCAUAAAACCCAUCACUGUACCAGCACUUUUUCUUCCACACAAAAUUUCCCACAUUCCCAACACCCCAUCUAUACUGUAAAAAUAACAUCCGACUUGCAAAGAAUCUUACACAGAAUAUUCAGUUGCUGCCACAACCUAAAGAAGUAGAACUCAAUCCCCAAAAAUUUUGUGAUUACUAACAACUUGGACACAGAACCAAUUAUCAUCUAAAUGUUCUGUGGCCUAAAAGAUUGUGCAGCAAUGUACUGAAACAGGACCAUACCUCACUAACAAUUUCCAUAGUAGAUAACAAUACUUGAAGCAAUAUACCACCACUUUCAUCAUAGAACUCCAGUGUCCUGAUGAUGCUCCUGGUAUCCCUAUUUCCACUGUAAACUACGACAUCAACUGACGGUGCUAUUCGCAUAAAUUCAACUUCCCACUGGGACAAAGCAGCGGAAGUUGUAACAAUGAGAAAAGGCUGAUGAUGUUCAGACAAUGCUUUGAUGAAUAAGAUCACAGUCUCCAAUCGAUCCUGCGAAGACAUAGUCAAUGCUACAUCUUAGCUUUCUUGAGGAAAAAUAAAUGCCAAAAGUUCAGCCUUCCUACUCGAGACACAAAGAUGAUCCAUUAACAGCAAACUGCUAUAAAGAUACUGAAAGUAGCAGCAAUAAUAGUUUACAGGAAGCAAUUGAGACUCCCAUCAAAGACAAUCAAGCACCACAUUCGAUACACAGUAAGUGCACAAAUAAUCCAUAUGCAUGAUAAUACUGCAUUAGCUUUCAAUGGAGAAAAUCAGCGGGAAAUUCAUCAAGAGAAAGAGUAGCUGAGUCAACAGCAGGAGACACACCUUCAGACUUAUACCCAAACUUUCACUGACAUCAAGAAAAACAAUUAAACCUCCACCUCAACUACAUCUCAUUGAUAGAAUUAACAUUUUCCAUGAAUUUCCUCAUUGCAAGAAAGGAAAAUAAAUAAAUAAAAAGUGGCUACUAAAAAAUUACCCACAAUACCAUAAAAUUGCUAAUAGUUUACCUACAAUACCACAUAUUAGGUUAUUGUUGGUACACAGAAAACAACACAUCUACUCUCAUGCCAGCUCUAAAGCAGCAUAGAGCACAAGCAAGUUCUAAGUGCCUUACAGAUAUCCAGAAACUUCCUGCAAAUUCACUGUUCUACAGAAUAGAUGGGUAAAUAUUCACUAACACAUUUUACAGGGCUAUCAAAAGGAAAGGACAAAUGAUUUCCAAAUAGCAGUACAACAGACAAAAGUCACAAACUCACUCAAUAAAAGUAAAGACACGAUAAAGACCUAUGCACCUGAAUUCUAAUCAACAACCAACAAAUCACAAAAUCAACCAAAUAGGCUACUUUCAAGAGGAUUGAUCAAUUAAACCAACUGCAGUAGCCAGCUCUUACACCUUACCAGACAAUUGACACAUCAACAUCCAAAAGUUUAAUCGCCUAUUUAGCUUCGAAUAAUGUUGUUUUCAAAAUAUAAUGAAGCUAAAAAGUGCACUAAGCAAAAAUAAAGAUUAACUUGUAAGUUUUUUAAUCAGACAUUUUCUACCGUUCUGUACAACCAGGAGGAAAUAAUACAGACCUAAAACAGUUGCAGCAGUACUUGAAUCAAAUCAAUGAUGUAUCAACUCCGAAAAUUUCACGAGCAUUCAAUACCUAUUCAGCAAUUAAGUUACUGCAACCCCUAAUGAUGAAUGGUAAUGAAUAGUCAUUCAGAUGUCUGUUGUUGCAUCACGCUCUGGGUCUCAUCCUCACAAUUUCAUGCAGUUCAUGUGUACUUAAAAAAAGAGAAAGAAAUUCAUAGUCUGAAGUUUUCUUUCUAAGAAGUCAGUAAACAAGAACAGCUUCUUCUUUUGAGGCACAACUUUUAUCUUUUGUAACUAUAAUAUAAUAGAUAAUGAUAAGUUUGAUAAAAAGUUUGAAUAUGACUACUUUAAGAACUCAGUACUGUUGCUGAAUUAUUACAAAAAUCCCUCCCUCUGAAAUCACUUCUAAAAUCAAAUUGCCUUUUGAGCAACAGCUAAUAUUCUUUUAUUAGAGGUGUGUGUUCUGUUAACAAGAGAAAAUCUGACUGAGAAUCUGCAAUUACAAUUGUUAUGGUAUACUUGUAGUUUUUAACAUCCUUAUGUAUAGUUAACCAGUUUCCCAAAAAAUACUGCAAAUUUUAAAGGACACAAGUUGCAGGAAAAUGCAGGAAACUUUUUACUGCCUUCCUGCCAACAAGACACCUUAUAAAAAGAAAAUAACUCCCUUCAAUAUCCUACACUUCUUCUUGCAACCAAAGGUUACGUAAAUGUUCCAAUCAUACAACUGAACAAGCCCAUGCUAACACCUUAAGCCUCAAGGCAGCUAUUAUUACCAGAAAAGGGACACUUGUAAACACAUCCGUUGGAUUUUCAAACAAAAACAUAACUAUUUAAAGAUUUAGGCUAAAGAUCUGUGACUUGAGCAAAUGGAACCAGAAAAGAAAUUAUGUAUGCACAACAUUAAAUUUCAUCUGGUCCAAAUUUGCAUGUGACAACACAGCCAUGAAAGCAGGUAGCUGACACUAACUCUGAAAUUUCAUAGGCAGGGCGAACAUGUGGACUGCCCUAAUGCAAAAAAGAUUAAAAAAAGCAAAAAAUGAAAGAAGCAGAAAGAAAGAAACUCGAGCAUAGCUGUCUCACAAGCUCACCUGUUCAUCAAAGACAACAGCACUCUGGUUCUUACACCAAAACUCCUGCAGCUUAUUCACAUUGUUUAACAUAUUGUCAUCAGCUCUAAAUGAUCCUCCUGGUGGAAGUUUCUGCAGUUCAGUAAAAGCUCCCUUUGCACUCUGCAGUAUCAGCAAGCAAAGACAAAUGAAAAUUGCAACUCUGUCGCGCACAACUCUUUACACUUCAUAUUUUCACCACAAAAAAUUUUUGCCAACAAAACUCACUUUCGGUACAAUGACAAGUGAACAUAAGCAUCUCAAUAGAUGAAAUAGAGAGCAGUUAGUAACAUACAGCCUCCAUCCCAUUUUAUAUGUCAUGGUCAACUUUGCACAAAGAUUAGAAAAAGUAACUUUGACCAAAACAUAUCAACUACCAAUGCAACUCUUUCCAUUAUUGCCCCUCAAACUCCAAUGUUAUGUUAGUUGACUAUGGAAUAUUAGAAAAGGAAUAACUACCAAAAAUAUGAAGAUGAUUUGUAACCUUAUUUACUGAAGGAACAUCGCUAAAAUAUUUUUUUUGGGGAAUUGUAUGAAGGGUACAAUAGGAAAGUUGAGCUCUAUUUAUUUCCAUUUUUAAACCAUAACAAUUAUUUUAGGACAAAGCAAAAUAGUAACCAGGAUAUGAAAAGCAAGAAGCAUAGAAGUCUCUGCUAUAAAGACUCUCCACUUAAGAAACUCCUCUUUUGUGUAUGCAUAUUUAUAUGCAUACUUUUCAACAAUAAAUACCCUAAGUGGAAAUUAGCAUGUAUUUCUAGGUGAAGACGAUACUAAAACUUUAUGUUGAGGGAGAACCGAUGAUAAUCUCCAAACCAGAUUCAACACAAUUAUGCAUCCAGGAACCUGGCACGCCAUAUCAAGGUGAAACCUUCAAAUUUUACUAAAGUUUCUGGGGCUACAUUCCACUAAGGAGAAACUAAAGGCCAAAGUUAAUGCAUCCAUGAUCCAGCUCAACAUCCAAUCACUUGUUGAGACAAAUAUCCUCCAGCUCUUUAAAAAAAUACCCAGACAAACUAAAGAGAAAAUGCAACACACAUGAAGAUCCACUCUCUCAGCGAUGGACAGCCUCAGAAAGAACUUAGAUCCAAAUCAGCAAGAAAGUUCUCAAGAAAGGAGGUAAAAAUAAAGAAAAUACUGAUGCCCAGCAUGCCAAUUUACAGGCAUUUUGUUGAUCCAACAAGCACUUAACAAGAUAUCAACUUAAAACAAUUUAAAGUACGUUGCACAUUUAACAGUGUAAUUAAAGUCACCUUGUCAGACACUUUUCUUGUCUUCUGAUGACGAAUUUCAUACUCUCUCACAAGUCUCUGACCUUGAGGUGAACGUAGGAACUUCAUGCUAUCAACCUCCCAUGUAGCAUGCUCAUAAUCAAGCCCACGCCAUUUGACAAGCCAUUCAAAUUGGCAAUAGGGAACAGCAUCAUUGUUUGAACUUGGAUACUCCUCCUGAUGGCUAAAGGACAUUAAACGUCUCUUUCUAAGCAAACGAUGUGGCAAUCUCCACUCUGGGUUCCAUGUAACAAUCUGAAGCCCAAAAAUAGAAUCACCAUAUAUCCGGAACAAAGUAUAGUAAACUUUUAAGCAGAGUAAAUGAUCCAAUUACUUUAAGCCAUGAAAAUAUUGACCUGAUACUCUCUAUUAAACUUUUCAACCAGAGAAGGAGAUUCAUGAAGCAUCAAUGUUUCUGAUACCCAAUGAUUGUAAAAGUGAGCAAGACCUUGAUACUUAACAAGAUACUGCUUCUGCCUACGUAUCCCUGAGAAGCAAUAAAGACAAAAAUGGCAUAACAAGAAUAAUUCCUAAAUAAAUCACAGUCAAGUAAUAGAAAUCAUUUCUGAACAUCAUGCCAAAUAUUUUUGUCCCACGAAGCAAUUUAAAACAAAGGAAUCAGACCAGACCUUUCAUAUCUGAAACUACAACUUCUCUAACAUCCCAAAUGGACUCUACUCCUUUUGACACUGUAUGGACACCAAAUUCUAUCUUCUUCUUAACACAGGAUGCACAGUGCCAGACUCCAGGUGUUUCAUCAACUAAAGAAGGAUCCAGACAAGAGACAUGGUAGCAUCUUCUACAACUUUCUCCAUUGCAGCACCUAAAAAGUAAGCAAAACCGUCACACAGUUUGAGGCAUCUUCUAAGGUCAAACAGAAAUCACAGGAGAAGGAAUAAAUCUGCUAAAGCAAUAAAAAGCGAAUCUAUUUUAGUGUCAAAGGGUACCCCAUAAGCAGCAGUACAAACACAUUAACUCCCUUACUACAAGGUGAAACCACAACAAAGCUAUAUUAAGCUUGAAAAGGCACAAAAAGGGACAUACCCACACAAAAGAAAAAGUACCAGAUGCAAUCUAGUCCAAGACAUUUUCCCAAAUUGUCUAAACAAUAAAAGCAUAAAAGCAUAAUUUACCACAGGAGCUUCCCCCCCUUCUUGCACAUCACGCACACAUUUUGAACAUCAGUCUUGGUGACUGAAAGAGUCUCCUUUGAUCUUGGAAUGCAUUUGCGGCUCCCAACUGAUUCUGAAUUAAAGGCAGCUUCAAGAUUUCCACUAUCCUAAAAUUUUACAGAGUCAAAAAAAGAAAAUCAUCACUCAUAAUGAGAUCAUAGAAUGCGGGUGUAUAACAAAAAGUGGACAACAUUGCAAUAGCAACUUAUACAAACAUCCACGUUAAAGUUUUGCAUGGUAAAAUACUCCCAUCAAUAACGUGGCUUAAAAAGAUAGCAUGAGUGCAGGAAGAAUGAUGUAACAAAAAAAUAAUGACCAUAAUUAAAGGAGAGAAAAGAGAACCUAAGCUGCAAUUUCCCAUGUAAAACACCAAGAAUUAUAACUUAAUAAUUAAGUUCAGAAGUUAAAUUCAUUCUUACGAAUAAAAGAAGCAAAUGACUGAUCAGAACAGCAUGACAGUGCAAUUGAGGGUGUUAAACUACAGCUAAAACAAAAGACAUCUCAAAUCAUCAUAUAAGGAGCCUAUGCAAUUGAGUAAAUUCACUUGACCAGGUAGCUUACCAUAUAGUCAUGUGCUUGACAAAAAAAUUGGGCCCCAAGCUUCGCAAAAGAGCUACAUGUACCAUGCAAAGAGCUGAAUGCAAAAGAAUUGGGCCCCAAGCUUCGCAAAAGCUACAUGUAAUCCCUUAACACUUCCUUUUUGACCAACCAAAUUGAGUGAAAAGAAAUUGGCCAAUUUUUAAUGAGAUAAAACCAUGUGAUAGCAUGCAAAUUUUAACUAUCAGCCUUGGCAAUUAAGCUGUCAUGCCACGGCAGCAAUUCAAGCUUAUUCUUAAAAUUCUUUGUUCAUCUUUUUCACAGCAAUUACGGUAAAAUCACAUUCAGAAUAAAGCAAUGCAUCUGUUACGUUGUGCUAUUAUGACCAUAGAGCAAAAUUCAUAACAUUACUACAAACUAACCUUAUUUCUUGAGAUGUCACCUGAGGUACAGCUCAGAGUAGCUCCGCAAGAACAAAGUUCCUCUUUUGGUGAAUCAUAAUCUGACCUGCCAAAAAAAUGAUAUACUAUGGGUCCUGGAUGUACAAAGCCAGUCGAAAAACAAAGAUAGCAGUAGCACCCAACAACUUUUCCAGUGUGCAUUAUCUCUUGCUUUAGAUACCGUACAGCCUAGCAUAUAAUCUACUGAUAACCAGUAACUUGCAUUUUGAAGAAAAAUUGAAAAUUUUCAUACUGCAAGAUGUAACAGCAAUAUGAUCCGAGAAUAAAAGAACAAUCAGGCAGAACUGACAAUACAGAGAAACAAUGCCCUCUUACAGCCAAAAAAGACGAAUUAGCUCAAUUUCUUCUUUCCAAAUGAUAAGAAAAGAGAAAAUUUGACUGCCUUUGAAUCAGCAAUAUGAUCCAAGAAUAAAGAAACAACCCGGCAGGUCCAACAAUGCAGAGAAACAAUACCCUCUCACAACCAAAAACAACAUGAAUUAGCUCAAUUUCUUCUUUUCAAGUAAUAAAGGAAGGAAGAAAUUUUGAUUGCCUUUACUUUUUCCUCAAGCAUACUUAAUUGCAUAUAUAAUAACAGAUCAAGAGCACAAAAAACCUAAUUAAGAAAGGUACACCUAUCAUCUUCAGUAACUCAAGCAUAAGCUUUACAAGUAAGAUGGAGUAAAUUUACAAGCUUAUUAAAGCCUUUCAUAUAUGAUGAAUAUAAGCAAGAGUUCACCAUAGAUUUGUACUCAGUCAACCAAAAUCACACUUAGUAAGAAAUACACCAUUUAGAGUUAAUGAUACAUUUGUACUCAUUCAAGGAAAGUGCACACUUAGAUGGCUGUGCUAAAUGCUAUCCUGUACUAAAAUCUGUAUCACCACAAAUGAAGGCACAUCAAACACUAUGAAAACCUCGUUAAAAGAACCCAUCUUAGCCAGACAAUCAACUCCAGUAUUCCUGUCUGAGUAAACAUCCAUGAACACUUGGCAAUCCUCGACGAUAGUGGCAGCUAGUUUCCAUGCAUGGUUACCUUUAUUUAAUAGAUGGGCUGCUAAAAAAGUUGAUAUGAUGCCUAUAAUACAGCUAGAAAGGACAUCUCAUGAAAAGUAAGACUACUGACAGAUCAUGAAGAAACUGUUUUGCCAAAAGGUAUCCCUGAAAAUAUAUGACUAGGAAGACCAUGAAGACAAGUGUUCAUCCAAAGUUUAUUGUGCCAUCCACCUGCCAGUUUACAAUUUUAAUUUGUUUGGAUUGUAGUUUAUUUGACAAUUUUAUUUACUUAAAUCAACACAUUUUCCAACCACCUUUUUAUCUCACAUACAUCACAUCAAAAAUGUGCUACGGUAUUUUUUUCAAAAAAUUAUUCCAAAUAAUCUACUAUCCAAACACACUCAAUAUAUUUUCAAAACGCACGUUAUAAUUUAAUAAAGUGCUGAAGUAUGUUGCUGCGGUAGAUUCAUAAAUCUCUUUCAGGUGAACUAAGGUAGUAUCAGAAGUUAGGAUUUCCAUUUAUGAGAAAUUCUUUCAACCCUAUAUGGAGUUAAGUUUUAUAUAUGACGAAUUGCUGAAAUUUUCUUUCAGCCUCCAGAAACAAGAUAAUACAUGAAAGUGCUCUCCAGUAAUCUGACACCUAUGGCAUCCUUAAUUGGGAGGAAAAGACAAAGGACUCUGCAAAUGGUUGGAAUGUCUGAACCACAGGGAUAAGCAACAAGGGAAUUCAAAGAAGCAGUAAUGAAAAUUCACUAUACUGAUGAGCUGUUGAAGAAAGUCCAUGACCUUGGGAACCUAUCAGCACGUAUAACCGAGCUAAGGUAAAGGCAUUGACAAGAGAAAAGAUUGAUAACUCAAAAGAACAAGAGGUUGACAAUUCCAUUGGCUUAGCAGCAUCUAAAAGCAUCAAAAAGCAAUAGGAAGAACUUCAGCUCUGUUUACUUGAAGUUCAGAAUGACAUCAAAGCAGAUCCUGGAACGAGAGAUUAUGUAAAGAAGAGAUUCUGGAUCAUUAUUUCCAACAGCAACUUAGGAAGCCAAAGCAAAAGAUGUAACAGUAAGACCAAGCACCAUGACAGUACAGCAACCUACACCGUAAAAUGGGAUUAUACAACUGGUACUCUGUUAUACAAAUAACUCAUUCAGAGAAAACAUGCUCGUUAAAUGUGAGGAGUGAAACACCACAUAAAGAAGGGGACUGAAAGAGAUGGAUAAUUCUAAACUAAAACUUAAUAAAACCCAAACAAAGAUUGCAAAGGAAAGAUUUUAUCACAAAUAUGGAUGAUUUGCUCCAGUGACACUUGUUUAUCUGGGUUGCACAUCUCAGAAUGGGAGACUUUGAGAGAGAUGGAAAAAGUGCUUGUAAAAGGCUCGAAAUUGACCCCCCAUCCCAUCUGGCUUGAAGUUAAUAUAGAAUGCACUGGGAAAGGAGAAGGACAUACAUCAGGUGACUACUAAACUAGGAAUGCUUAAAUUUUUUGGAUAAAUCAGUAUCUAUUAGAGAGAUGAAUCAGGCUCCUUUCUCAAAAGAUUAACUUAAUAGGAAGAUGGUCAAUAUGCACAGGACUACAUUGGUAUUUAGGUCUAAACGAUGAAAGACCAGGAGCAAUGCCCUUAAUUUUCUGAACAAUACAAACAUAGCAAUAUACACACACAAAAAAAGUGCACACUUGAUGCAUGAUAAUAACCUCAUUUGAGAGCAUUUCAAAAAAUUUGCAAUGAAACAAAUGAUCCCCCAAAAUCAGGAUAUGCAAGGCUUUAUAACAAAAAGAGAGAGGAUCAAAGCACCUUCGCCUCUUACAGCAGACAGCACAGUUCCCAACAAAGCCAUAUAUAUCAUUCUCCCUGGAUGCUGCAGGAUCAGACUCGGCAACCGGAGCAGAGACAGAUUUACUAACAAGGAUUCCUGUGACAUCAGGCGCUACAUUAAUUGCAGACCCCUUUUCUUCUGAUUGCAUGCAUCGGGCACCACUUUCCAACUUAGUAUUACAACCAAGUGGACUCGCCAUACAAGUCAACGUCACCAUCUCAGGAAUCUGAGAAUUUCCAGUAGUAGAAUUAAUAUUGGGCUCAGAGAUCUUGGCAUCACAAUCUUUCAAACCAAAUGCAGCUCCUGAGACAGCUCUCUCCAAAGGUUUUUCUCUCAAGUCUUCUGUGACCCUCAUACCGCAUUCAUGUCCUUCAUUCUUGUCCUCUAAUUGUUUUAAACAACUCAUGUUACCACCACUAUCAACUUGAGGCAACACGUCAUGUCUUUCCAACUCGUCCUCCCUACCUGCAUGCAGUAAACAAUGACAAACAAGGAAGACAUUCAGGUCAACCAAAUCAGACUGUUACCACCCAGAAGCAGCCAAAAGUUAUAUGAAUUAUGAUUCAACUCCUUUCAACCAUCUCAAAUGUAUCAUAACAUACACUACAAACUGCUUUCAACCAUCUAAAAUGUAUCAUAAAAUACAUUAUGAUUAAUACCAAUGACCAAAUUAGCAAGAUCAUUCUCCACUCAGUUCAAGAUAUUGGAAUUAAUAUUAUAGACACUAACAUUUAUGCAGCAUAAAUUUAAAUGCUUGUAUCCAACAUAGAUACUGGAAAAAUAUACCGUGUGAAAAAUUCUAAGUUUUCAACAGUCAUCACAAUGUUAAGUGGCGGGCCUCGCACGAGAAAUUUGCCUACCUGAUGCUGAACAUAUUCGUUUUCGUUUGAACAAAGCCUUGUAACUGCGAGCAUCCAUUCUCUUCCUCUUUACACCAAAAGAUUCUUGGUUCCAUUUUUCGCCAUGGUUGACGUUUUCAGUUCCCAUCGUCAACUGCUUUACGCUCUUCUCUUUCUUUUCCCGCCUGCUCAUUCUGUCCGCUGAACUGGACACUUUCUCCAAGCUCUUUGAUCCAUAUGAAGUUGAUGAACCAAGUGCUCUACUCCUGUCAGACCUUCUUAAAGGACUUGGGGCGCUCUGUUUCUCCAGUCUCUCAGAUUUCCUGACAACCGGAAGAGGUGUUGAUGGCAUCCGCUUUUCAAGUCGUUCAGACUUCCUAGUACUUGAUGGGCUCGAUGUCAUUUGUCCUGAGGAUGAUGCACCCUGAGUUGUCUGCCUUAAACGUGAAGCAUCAACCUUUAACGUGCCAGAGUUCAAAGUUCCUUCCCCGCUAUCCAUACUUUUACCUGAGCUGUCACCCUCAAAAUCCUUAUUUCGCUGCCUAGAGCGAGCAUCAUUAGCCAUCCUUUCAGCUGCAAACCACUAAAUUGUUCAGCUUAACUAUUCCAAAAUACGAUACAAAAUUGACAAAUACAUUAAGGGCCUUAACAAUUAGGUAGUAGCAAGUGGUACACAUCUCCCUUCCCGAAUGCACUCUAAGCAUAAUACUAUAAACUAAAACCAAUGAAUCUCAAUCAAGCAUUAUGCAAAUCCUCACUAAAUUACAAUUUUCACCUCCCCUUCCUACCUAAAAAACUUCUUUCUUUGACAAAAAGAAAAAGGACAUGAUUGUAGAACUGCUUCUUCUAGCUUGGUGCCCUAAUACUUCAAGACUUGGGAACGAAGAACGAAGUGAUAGCACAAUGCAGGACUAUUAGGGCAAUUUCCAAAAGCCAAAUCAAAUCCAGUUAACAUUAUUUGAUUUCCAAGUUAAGAAAUUACAAAUUCUUUGCCUAAAAAAAAAAAGAAAUUACGAAAUUUUGGAAAAUGCGGAAAAUGCAAAGCAAAAUUCCAACCAAUCCUACUUCCCUAGUGCAAAUUUUAAGCGCAAAAACACUAAUUAAGCUCAGAAUUAACACUAGGAAUACCAAGAAGCACUCUUAGUUACCUCUGGGUUUAAAGAAAACCCUAGAUUCUUGAAUCCACGGCUCCGGGAAAAAACCCUCGUUUCUAGCAGUACCUCGAUGUUCGUGAAUUUACUUCGGUGCUUACUAAGGUAGAAGAACGGCCAUGCAACACACAAAUGAAACAACUGCCGAACUCGUCAUACCUCGGACUCUUACGUUGUUCCAGCCGCGGUGCAGGAUUCUUUAUUUCCAUUUUUACCCUUGACGGCUUUCAUUGUUUAAAGGAAGCGAAACGUUGUAAUGACUAUUAUACCCUUGGUUUCUUUGUAUUUUUGGGUGGAUAAAAAGAAGGCAAUUCAUUUUAUUUCCACAUAUUUGCACUUGAUAUCUCCUCCCGUUCAAGUAAAUGGGUGAAUAUUUUAAUAACUAUUAUACCCUUAUUUCCUUUUAUUUUUGGGUGGGUAAUGCAGAAAAUGGGAACAUAAGGUUAGAAAUAGAAUUAUAAUACACGCAAAGUUCUAUUUAGGUUUAAUUGCACGUUAUUUCUUUAAUUAGAGAUCAGCAGUAAUUCACUUCCUAUGUUCACAAAAUCCAUAAAUUGCUUCGCCAAAUCCUUUUCUUCUUUUUUUUAUUCUUAUUCUCCAUAUUAUGCUUAGAUUUCCGUUUUUUUCCUCUACAUUCUUGUUGCGAUAUAAUACUGAGUUUGAGAAAAAUGCAAUGAAAAAUUUUGUUUUAGACGCUUAAAUAUAUACUACUAUUACUUUCUUACAAAAAAAGUAUUUAAGUUUCUCACAAGUUAUUGUAAUAAAUUAAAAGUACUUAUUUAGCAAAAUUAAUUUUAAACAUGCAUAUACACAAUAAUAACAACUUCCUCAUAACAUGCUGUGAUUUGUGGAAUCUUGAAAGUGUCGAUUAAGGAAUUGUGGUAUGUAUGGUCCAAGGUUUGAUUGGUUCUUAUUUAAAUGCUAUAACUUUGAGGCCUAUAUUACUUUCUUGGUUUAUCUAAAAGUAGCCCUAUUCUAGACUCUGCAGCAAUUACACAUUUUCGUUUAUUUUGUAAUAUUGUGGUGAUUUAAAGGGUUCAAUGAUUAAAUCUGCUAAUUACUUAGCAAGGAAAAUCAAGAAGCAGAUGAAAUGUGAGGAAGAAGCUUCUUCAUGAGUUAAAGACAAGAAUCUCUGGAAAUUAAAUGUUUCUCCAAAGAUCAAAAUUUUUGUGUGGAGGACAGUGAUAGGUGUCGAGUAUGUGCAAUAAUAAUAAUGUUAAUUCUAUUUGCCAAUAAAAGCAGUUUCGAGUCAAUUCUAAUAUUGGAACAGAGACUUUGGAUGUACAAUGGAUUACUAAAUUUACCAUGACUCCGAAGAGUUUGCUAGAUCCGAUAUACCAAAAUUUAUUCAUGAAAAUUUGUUAACUUGUAUAUAGGGCAAGUAGGGUUGUAUCCUCAGGAAUUGGGGAAAAUUUGCUCCUUUUCAAGUUAAGGAUAAACGGGGGUUUUGAGAAUUAAAAUGCUAAUUGUUGUAAACUAAUAAAAUAAACUACUAUAAUAUCAAGUAAAAUAUUGGAGAUAUUAGAGAAAGAAGUAGAGAAAUAGAGAAUGAUUAUCUUAUUAUUCCAACUAAUACAAAAGUCCUUCAUAAAGGGUGUCAAUGUACCUCUAUAUAUAAGUACUACAAGAUUAAAGGAACAUUAAUCCUAUUAAACACCUACUACUACAAGAAUAUGAAAAAACCUAUGAAACGGUUUUUCCAUUACAUGAAUAGAUUUAUGGAUUGUAACUUCUAUACAUAAUGUAGCCAUAAAUCAAGAAUUAAUUCUCUUAAGAAUACAAAGAGACAUCCAUACUUUUAAUUGUUUCAUAACACUCCCCCUUGGAUGUCCAUUACACAAAGAAUAAGUCUCGUUAAAACCUUACCAGAGAAAAAUUCAUCGGGACAAAAACCCUAGUGAAGGAAAAAGAGUACACUAUUCUUGUGUAUUAAUUUCUCCCCCUGAUGCAAAUAUUAUUUGAGAUCUUUUAAUCGUCGCAUUUCAAUAUUCUUCGCCAAUUGCACUGAAAUAUGGUACUUCAGGACCAAGUAUCUCUUCAUCUUCCUCUUGCGAUCUAAAAGGAUCCUUUUUAGGAUCUAAUGAUCUGACGACCAUUGAAAUACUUAAUAUAUAUGCCUUAUCCAUAUAAAAUCACUUUAAUACCUUCCGAGUAUAUGCAGUUUGGUGGAUAAAAAUUUCACUUUUCAAAUGCUUAAUUUGUAAAUCAAUGCAGAAUUUUGUCUUUUCAAAAUCUUUGAUCUCAAAUUCUUUCUUCAAAUAUUCAACACUAUUUUGAAUUUUUUCAGGAGUUCCAAUCAAAUUUAGAUCAUCAACAUCUACAGCAAUUGUCAUAAAAUUUGAUCCUUUUUUCUUGAUAAAAACACAUGGAUAUAUUGGAUCAUUGGUAUCCAAAUAUUUGUGAAAAUUCUUGGGCUACUUGCUUUACACCUUUAGGUGUUUAGACUACAAGUCUAAAAACUUUUCUUUUAAUCAAUAAAUCCAGAUUGGAUCGCAUCUCUCCACUUUGCCCAAUCAUUUCUAUAUCGACAUUCAUCAACCGAUCUAGAUUCAUGAUUCUCAUCAACUUCUAUAAUAUCAAAUGCUACAUUUCAUUAUAUUCCAAUUAAAUUUUCUAUGAUUUCAUUCUCUUCAGGAGUUGGCUCUUCAGGAGUGAUCUCUUCAAGAGGUUGAAUUUUGUCAUGACAUUUAUUUAAUCUCCAGAGAUAUUUGAAAUCAAUUUAUACCUUAUUUAGGUAGGCCGACCUUAAAUUUAUUUGUAGCACUUGUGCAUGUCCUUCAGGGACAUUAAUUUUAAUCAGAAUAUUUCCUACAGGAAUAGUUGAUUUAAUGACUCUUCUGGAUUCGAUAAAUAUAACUUUCUGCAAAUAAAGAAUCUUUUUGAAUUUCUAGUUCACAUUAUAUUGUAUGAGAAUCGAGAAAAUCCAAUUUCUCAAAUAAUUUCCUUUCAGUUGAUCUUUUGCUCCCCCUAAUAUCGGGAAUCGUAGUUCAUCAGAAUAAAUAAAUCAUUCAAUAGAUCACCCAUCAAUAUUUUACAAUAUUUAAUUGUAAAAGGUGAUUCAUACCCAACAUAAAUCUUAAAUUUCUUUUAGAGCCAUAUAUAAUAUAAAAGGGGGGUAUGUAUAAAUAUUUGUCGGCUCUCAGAUAUUUUCACUUUCGUCAAAUUAUGUAUUCAUUGGGAUCAGUAAAUUUCUGAUUUACUGCAAGUGAUAAUUAUAAAUCAAAUGAGAAUGAAGACAACUAUAUCGAUAACCAUUUCUCUCUCGAAUGGUUAUUAUGAUAUAAUUAACAUUUAUCUCAUUUGAUUUCUAAACAUGAUCUCUAUUAUUGUCUCAUCUAGUAUCUCAAUUUGAUAUCCAUUUCAACGGAUAUUCAAAUUCAAUAAUUCUUUCGAGACAUGAUAAAAAAUAGUGGUUUAUUUAUAAUAAACUUUUCUCCUACAGGGAGAAAUAUAGUAGUGGCUCUUCUGGAGCUUUCAAUCACUUAAACACUAUCACUGAUUGUGUUUGUCUCUUUUGUUGGAAAAUAGUGUACAUAGUAGCACUUAUUAAUGAAACAUAUAUCAUUGUUAUCACAAUUCUUAUGGGACAAAUAUCAUCACCAUAAUCCUUUGAUUCCAAAUAUUUAACAUCCAUUUCUUUUUCAGGAAGAAAAGUCAAUUAUUAUCAUAAAUUAAAUCAAACAUCAUACACCUUCAGGGUGUUUAAAGAAAUUGGCCAUGUGAAGAUGCUAUUAUAAUUUUGAUUCGUCAAAUGUACUUGGGACAUUUAUCUUCAGGAUCCUUACUUUCUUGUCCUUAUCAUUAUUAUCCACUUCAAGUGGUAACUUUUUUCUCUUGUCAUGGUAAAAUAUAACUAAUAAAUUGAAAUUUAGUCGCAUUCACUUUUGGGAAUGGACUAGAAUUAGCAUACAAUAAGUACAGAAUACUUUUCAAAUUUUCUCUUCAUAUUGCUACUACAUGAGCAUAUUCGAGAAAUCAAUUGUAGAGAAUAUCAUUUUCAAUAUAUCUUAUGAGUAAAAUUUUCUCGACACAAUUUCAACUGAGAAGCAAUUCUGAAAAUUGCAGAAUUAUGUUCUUGUAGCCAUAGGUAAAUUUAUCAUACCAGGCUUUUGAAAUAAUGACCAUCUUCUGAUGGCCAAAUCUUUUUGUUAAAAAAUGACCAUCUUCAGGUGAUCCAAUUUUUUUCUUUAAAUAUUUCAAAGGACAAGUAGAUUCUCAAAUAUAAUUGAUUUUCUAUACUACCAUUCCAAAAUUCAAUGCAUCAGAAUAUAAGUAUUUAUAACAAAUAAUUCUAAAGAUAAAUGAGUAGAAUUAAAAGGAGAAAUAUUACCUCAAAAAUAUCAAACAUUAUAUAUUUGUGUUUAGUGGUUGCUCAGCAAUGGACACUUGUAUUUUUUUGAUCAUUCAAAUGUUAGUAAUAAGAAAUUGAAAUAAAUUUAUAUAUAAAAAAUUUACCUCAAUAAGUAGACAGAAGUUGCCGAAAAAAAUACGAAUAGAAUUUCUUGUUUCACUUUUACUCAAGGUAAAUCCUCGUUUUCACAUUUUGCUCAAAAGUAGAGACUCGUGCUGAUAACGUGUUGUAAAACUAAUAAAAUAAAUUACUAUAAUAUCAAGUGAAAUAUUGGAGAUAUUAGAGAAAGAAGUAGAGAAAUAGAGAAUGAUUAUCUUAUUAUUCCAACUAAUACAAAAGUUCUUCAUAAAGAGUGCCAAUGUACCUUUGUAUAUAGGUACUACAAGAUUAAAGGAAUAUCAAUCCUAUUAAACACCCACUACUACAAGAAUAUGAAGAAACCUAUGAAACGGUUCUUCCCUUACAUGAAUAGAUUUAUGGAUUGUAACUUUUAUACAUAAUGUAGCCAUAAAUCAAGAUAUAAUCCUCUUGAGAAUACAAAGGGAUAUCCAUACUUUUAAUUGUUUCAUAACACUAAUGGAUUAUUAACUAAACUAAUCAACUGUGAAAAAAUAAUUAAGAAAGAGAGAUAAUGAGAAAAACUAUAGUCAAUGAUACACUUUAGAGAUGGUUCAUGCAAUUGAUCAUUAAUGCAAUUAUAAUUCCAAUAUUUAUUAAUAAGUAAUUUUUUAACUGCCGAUACAAUCUGACAGUCAGUCUCUCUCCUUACUGUUUCGAUAGUUAAGGUACGACUAUUGACUAUUUCUCUAAUUUAGGAAUAACCGUAGGUACGACCAUAAGAUUUAAUUUCCAGUUGCAUUAGAAACUAAAGAAACCCUACUCUAAUCAAUAAACACGCUCCGAGGGUUUAUUUAAAUUAGAUUGUACGUUUCUCUGAUACAAACCCAAUUACAUCAGUUGCUACCUGUAUUGGAGUAGUCAAAUAAUUACGAAUUCAACUAUUCUAAUUAGCAAAUAGAUUACGUGAGUAAUUAAAUAUUGCAUACUUAUUCAAUCACACAUAAUAAUAAUAGCCACGAAAAAUAGAAAAUAUACAAAUACCAAUGAUUGAAUGAAGCAAUUAAGAUGUGAGGUUGGACGUGGAGCUAGUUAAUAGGAUCUUUAAUAAAGAGGAUGCGAAGAGGGUGCUUAGAAUUCCCCUUAGUGCGCGACCUGGGAAAGAUAGAAUCUAUUGGUCACUGUCGACCACAGGGGUAUAUACAGUAAAGUCGAGCUACAAGCUAGCAAAAACUACUCAGUUCAUAGUUGGAAGUUUCUCUGGGGGAUGAGGGUGCAGCAGAAGUUAAAACAUUUCAUUUGGAAAUGCUUGAUUGGAAUAUUGCCUGUAAACGUACUAAUUAGAGACAGAUGUUUCAGAGGAAACUACUUGUGCAGGUGCUGUAGGGAAAGUCCAGAAACAAUAGAGCAUAUGUUUUUCUUUUGCAACAAUGCCAAGGCUAUCUGGGAGGCUGCUCCUUUAAGUUAGGAUGAUCUAGAAAGCUUUAGGAGCAAAUUCUGGUUAUGGUGGGAGGAGUUGAAAGAUGUAGUGAAACAAGAAAGAAGGAGAGAACGUGUUGAACUUACAGCGAAUUUGUUGUGGCAAAUUUGGAAGUCAAGAAAUGGGGUGCAAUUUAAUAACAAAAGAAGAGAUCCAAUACUAGCAGUCCAUAAAACUGUAGUGGAGUUGAGAGAAUUCCAUGACAUUCAGCAAGCGGAGGUGGAAAGAGUAGGUGGCGGCGUAACGGAGAACGAAGGAAUAUCUGGCUGGGGGAGACCAAAGGAAGGUUGGAUUAAAGUGAACUCAAAUGCAACUUUGCAUCUAGAAACGGAUAAGGCAGGAUGGGGGAUCAUUGUGAGGAAUUGGCAAGGGAAGAUGGUUGGAGUUUGGGCAGUGCCAAGGCCAUUAUGUACGCAUGCAAAGUUAGAGGAAGCGCUUGCACUCAGGUUUGCCAUGUUGGUGGCAAACCAGAAUGGAUGGAGACGAGUAGAGUUCGAAUCAAAUUGUUUGCAGGUAGUUAGAGAACUUAAUAGUGCAAAUGAAGAGGUUAUUAGGUGCACAGUGAUAGCUGACUUGAAGAAACUCAUACUAAAUUUUGAUGAAUGUUGUUUUGCUUAUACUAGAAGGGCAAACAACUUUGUUAGUCAUUCUUUAGCUAAGAAAGCAUUACAAUUGGAAUGUUCUGCCGAAUGGAAGGAUAGCUUUGCAGGCUGGAUGCUUGAGCUUGCUCAUGCUGAUUGUAAGGAUAGUUGCCUAUCUGUUACAUAACUGUUGGAGUCCAAUUAAUAAAAUGAUGCCGUUUUGAUAAAAAAAAAAAGAAUGAAGCAAUUAAAAUAAUUUAAAUCUCAUAGUUAUCAUUGAAUCAAAUCUUCAAUUGUCACAUUGACUAGAAGUAUGAAAUUAGUUCUCCAUUAAUGGAGAACAAGUCACGUAAAAAUCCGUUCGAAGCUUUCCCAUUGUCUUCCUCCCUAUCGAUCCAAAAAAAUAAGAAUUACUAUGCUUUGUUCCUAAGCAAGAGCUAUAUCCGAAUUCUCUCUACCGAAUUACUUAAUUGAUUGGUUUCCUAAUAUCAAUCAAAUUCCUAAAGAGUUUCCUAUUACAAUUCAAUUUCCUAAAAGCUCUCCCAAUUGCUCGAGACUGACGUGGAAUGCAAAGAAAUAGGAAACUUCAGCAGUUGUCGAGUUUUGAAAUUUGACUUGGAUUGGGAAACUGUUCAAUAUCAAUCCCGACUUUCUGUUUUUGAAUCCCGAACUUAUGUUUGCCCACGUGAAAAUCAUCAAAAAAAUUUUCAUUUAAGCACUUUUCGCUCCAACACCCUAUAAUUGAUAUAAAAUACCAAAUAUAAGUAGAAUCUAUCAAUUAAUACAAUAUUUGACUAAAAUCAAGGAAAAAAUAAUUAUAUAUUUAGCAACAAAUUAUGACCUAUCAGAUAAAAUCUUCAAGCGAGACUUGGAAAGAUGAUAACAGUCUGUAAAUGUUGUGGAUAUGCAGUGGAAUCCGAACAACACAUGUUCCUUGAAUGUGAAUUUGCCCAAGUGUGGAAGGGGCUGGAACUUCAGAUGGCUUCAAACAUUUCAUCCAUGUCCAUGAAAUCGAUGCGGCAAUGGCUGAAAAUAGGGGUGGCAAUCGGGUCAAAUUCGAGUUGGCGGGUCGGGUUGAGACCCGUGUAUAACAAAAAUCUGCUGACCCGCAAUCCUAAAUGGGUCAGAAUAUUUGACACGAACCCAAAAAUUUCGGGUUGGCGGGUCGACCCGAAAUGACCCGAAACUUAAUUUUAAUUUAUUAAUUCACCACUAUAAUUUCUAAUAAAAUCAAUUUCUCACAAAACUAAUUACAUAAUCAAGUAAUAAAAAUUUAAAUAAAUAAUCUCAAACCAAAUCUAAAAUAAAUUAAACACCGUAAAAGUGUUUUAUCCCAAACCAAAUAUAAAUUAAAUUAAAUCAGUAUAAAAGUAAAAAAUAAUAUAAUAUAUUAUUUGUCCAAAUAUAAUAAUUUCAACUUCACACAAGUUAAAUAAAUUCAUUUAGGAUUAAGUAAUUAAUGUCUUUGAAAAAAAGGAAUAACUUAAUUUAGUUAGAUAAAAUAAUUUUUAUAUUUAUUAAAUUAUUUUUAAUUCGUAAACGGGUCACCCACGGGUUGAUCCGAAAUUAACUUGUUUUCUUUUCGAGUUCAUCGGGGUUCUACCCGAUUCUGACCCAAACCCCUGAAAUCUCAACCUAAAUUCAUUAAUUUCAUAUUAAAUUCGUGUCGUAUUUUCAAGUCAUAUCGGAAAUUGCCACUCCUAACUGAAAUGAUAUCCCCUAGAACUAUCAACCCUGAACAAGUUGAAUGUUUAGCUUUCCUCAAAUCUCUGCCAUUUUCAAGAGAUUUUGGUAUUGCCCAUUUCAUUCUGGAAGAUGAUGCCUUAAAUGUUGUGCAGAAGAUCAAAAACAAGAAUAUGCGAAGCUGUUUUGAAUAUGUUAAUGAGUUUCCCAUGUUGGAAGAAAUUGCAAUGUUCCUGCUCAUAUCAUGUCAAGGUUGUCUUCAUCCCCAGGGAAAUCUUGUAUAUAUGCUGCUGAAGCUUAUUUAAAGGAUUGAUGGUAAUUUCUUUUUCAAAAAAAAAAAAAAAUCCAUUACAGCCAAUACAGAGUUCAUAUGUAGCGUUGGGUAAUUUACCUCACAAGUAAAUCUAGCUGAUACUAAUUUCCAAAGACACAAAUCAUUUGGUGAGAAUGUGAACAAAGUAGCCAUAAUAAUGUCACUUCAUUUGACUCUCAAACUCUACUAUAUCUCCAUACACUUGUAAAGCUUAUACUAUAUGGUUUCUUUCUUGAAAAAAAAAAUUAUAAAUACUAGUAAUAAGUAUAUCUUUUAUGAACUUGUAUUCUAACUGAUAAACUAGCUCAACUUUAAUGUCAAGAUUUACGUAGGUAGGUAAUGAGCAUUUCCAUGCCCAUA
RNAcentral lists this long non-coding RNA (37768 nucleotides) under Coffea arabica (coffee). RNAcentral's name for it is "long non-coding RNA (CARA_LNC008121)". The record is from RNAcentral. Lineage: Eukaryota; Viridiplantae; Streptophyta; Magnoliopsida; Gentianales; Rubiaceae.